This is a long non-coding RNA of Cynoglossus semilaevis (tongue sole), 1250 nucleotides long. RefSeq lists it as uncharacterized. NCBI's taxonomy places the organism in Eukaryota, Metazoa, Chordata, Actinopteri, Pleuronectiformes, Cynoglossidae. The record is from RefSeq and is a predicted model, not a curated record. The transcript has 2 exons.
ACCAAUCUUUAAUUAUACACACCAAAUGUCCUAUUAUACUUGAAUGCACCACUUGGGGUCAAGGAGGUCUAGACCUCAACAGCCAAUCAGGAGCUUCACAGGUCACGUCCAGCUUGUCAAUGUGGAGGUGAAGUGCGGACGCAGUGUUUCUUCCGUCCUUUUGAAUAUCAGCAGCGGGAAAGAAGGAAAUUAACCAUUUCACUAACUUGCUGAGAGUCCGUAGCUGAGUGAGUGAAUGAAGGGGACGAGUUACAUCGGUGAGGCGGAUCGUUUAUUGGAAAAAGAAUGACCGUUAACAUAUCGCCCAUGCUAAUGCUAAUUUUGUGAGCCGCUACAAACCCCAGCAUUGCAUCCUCGGCUUGAAGCGCAGAAAAACGGUCAGGUUUCUGAGAGGACGGGAAAGUUUGAGGACCAGGACCAAAUCCCAACAGUAUUUGGUAGUGAGCAAUCAACCCUGAAGAAAAGACACAGACAAGGAGAUACAGGUAUAAACACACACACACACACCCACACACACACCUUUAAAAACGGAUGCACCUGCAACAUACUCUAAUAUGCUAUGUUAUGUUAUAUAUGAGGAUAUAAAAAUGACAUCUGACCAGACUUACUAAUCUGAACAGUAUAUUGGUAAGAACUGAGCCUGACACUUUUCCUGGGCCCACCACAGUCAAUAGUCCUCAAUGUUGAAUUGUGCUUUUUCAAAAUUAAAUUGAUAAUUGCUCUAAUCAUUUCCUAGACCGUUGUAAGCUCUAUGACCACUGUUUACUCCACGGAUAUCAAAUCCAAUAACAGGUGCAUCUGCACUACAGUCAGAUAAGAUUAUGAUGACAAAGUGAAGUGACAACAGCACCAUGGUAACAUUAAAACACACUAUACAAAAAUUGAGCCCACAUUUUGUAUCGCAAAAUAUAUAUUGAGAAAGUGGAGUAAUAAUUAAUUUUAUUACAGAAACCAUUUUAUUGCACAUUUUCACAUUCCUACAAUAAAUAUUGCAUGUAUUUGUGACUGUAACAUCUGUAGCAAUAAUUAUGGGUGUUACAGUACAUUAAAGGCACAGUGGAGAGUCUUACAAAUGUUGUCAUUUAUUAACAAAUAAUAAAAUGGCUAUAAAUAAAUACAUAUGUACAUACUUAUAUACAUAUUAUAUAUAUAAUCUCAUCCCGUAAUAUUAAUUCCUGUCUAGAAAAUAUCAUUUCAAAUGUAUCCACACUGCAAGACAUUAAAAAAAAAAAAUCAAAUCAGUCCCCAUC